CAAAUGACAUCGAAAAGAAGAGUAGCCGUUAGGUGUUUUUAGAGAGUCUCUGGUUGGUGGAAAGAGGCAGCAGUUAACCGUGAAACACAUCUUGGAGUCGAUUUUCUGAAGCGUAUAGUAGGAAAAUCCGGGGAGCCCGUUACAGCUGCGGUCGUUGCUAGAUGACCAGAUAAGGCUGGCUUUUCCGUGAGGAGUCGGUAAAAAAAGGUGGAACCACGUGAUUAACGUCCUUUGAUCUUCGGAUCAAAGGACUUUUUGUUUUCAUCUGAACGGCAACGACUGUGUGAGGUUUUUUCUGCAAGGAAAAAAUAAACAGAGGUGGAACCACGUAUAAUACGUCCUCUUG
This 346-nucleotide non-coding RNA is filed under the name Enterococcus faecium. RNAcentral's name for it is "T-box sequence". The stretch from base 1 to 235 matches the Rfam family "T-box leader". Rfam says of the family: Uncharged tRNA acts as the effector for transcription antitermination of genes in the T-box leader family. T-boxes are found upstream of many aminoacyl-tRNA synthetase genes and some amino acid biosynthetic genes usually in Gram-positive bacteria. The record is from RNAcentral. Lineage: Bacteria; Bacillati; Bacillota; Bacilli; Lactobacillales; Enterococcaceae.